Molecule: non-coding RNA, 1698 nt
Organism: Pseudonaja textilis
Lineage: Eukaryota; Metazoa; Chordata; Lepidosauria; Squamata; Elapidae
Source: RefSeq, a predicted model, not a curated record
AGGAGGAGGAGGAGGCACUGACCACAACCAGUAGCCUUGCCUCCCGGCGGUCAUAAACCUUGCUGGAGGAGGCAAGAAGCUCCUGUCAUUCAGAGGAUGCGAGCCACGCCGAGAGAGAGAGACCAGCGCAAGCGGCGGCUCCUUGGCUGAGAAGCGGAUUUCCAAAGGAGCGCGCGCGCCCCAGCCACCGACCAUGAGAUUCCCGCAGCUCCUUUUCAGCUGGGUUUUGCUGCUGACGGGGCUCCUCCUGGUCAACGGACAGAGGCCAGCUAACUUGGCCAACAGACGGAAACUACACAGACAUCACUGUUCCCACAGGAGAUGCAUGCCCCUUCAUUCCAGAGUGCCCUUCCCUUGAGGCACUUAAAGCCAAACAAAAACCAAGCACUGAAUUUAGCCAGUGCCUCUACUCCUUUGAAUCCUGUCUGUCACAGGGUUGGGAGAAAAUGGUAUAGAAGAAACCUUUGCUCUGGUACCCCCUGAGUACAUAUUUUCUUCAAAAUGCUGAGAAAAAGAAAUAAGCACACAAGUCCAGAUGACAUUUUGAUAAUGGCAUAGUUAUAAUCUACAGAGAUAUCCCAUAAGCCAUCAUCAGGAAACGGAGAAAUCCUUGAGAAAACUGUUGGACCAGAUUUUCCUGGAGUUUGGGGAUUCGGAAGAAACAAUUAUCAACCAAAAGAUCUUAUCUAGAAGCACUGGAGAAGCAUCAGUCCAGUGUAUCACCACUUUUCUUGGCAUGUCAACAUAGCAAUCUAGUAGCCAGAAAGCAAACAUUGCAAUGUUAGACAAAUUAUGUCCUUGUAAAAGCCUUUGCUGUAUUAAGUGUUUCUUACUUGUGUAUCUUUUAACACUCUUAUUAAAAAUAUGCAAGAAUGAAAUUAGUAUUUGAUAAACACUUAAUUGCUUAAAGCCACAUUUAAUUAGUUUCACUAUUGCUUGGAGACCAGGUGGCUUUUUUGUUUUUUUCCUAUUGUGUUCAAAAAUUUCUCAGGCCAGCAUUCCUUAAUAUCACGGCCUACCAUCCCUGAAUUUCCAACCACAACAUGUCAACAAGUGCCAGGUUAGAUAAUCUGGCUAUUUUUGAAAGGGGAAAUUCUCAAAUAUUAACUGAAAUUAACUGAAAAAGCUUACAAGCAUGUUUGAACCUUAAAAAUCACUUACACCGGUGGAAAUGCACUGUGUGAUAAUAAGGCUUUGUGUGAUCAGAUACUUAACAGAUCAAUAUUGUAAUGUAUAUCUUGCCAUAGUUCUUGAUACAUUUGUAGCAAUUUUAACACUACAAUCAAUUUAGAUCAUGUAUUGUGAUUCAAUAAUUUCUUAAAGCAUGUUUGUUAACUGUAUAUGUUGUACAAAAUGUAUUUCAAAUAGUACUGUCACAUUAAAUAUUCAUGUAUCUUUUCACAUUUUUGUAUGCUGUACAUUGAAAUGAUCCACUUUCACAGAAACGUGAAAUCUUUGCUUCAUUUAUUUUUAAUUUACACAAGGGAUCAAUAUAAACAGUAAUGAUAUAUCUACCUAAGUAAAAUAUAUAUUAAACCAUUGUUUUUUAAAAUGUUAAGCCAAAAGUAUUAUUACUAGAAUUUAAUCAGAUAAUGGCACAUUAAAGAAAUUGUAAUUUCCAGUUCUUUCAGAAUAAGAAUUAUACAUCUUACUUUGGAGAGAACUACUGAAAUUAAAGAUCAAUAUUUUUAAAUAUCA